GGAAGCUCAUCACAGUCACAUUCAUCAUCAAUCAGGUGGAUGAAAAAGUUGUGAAAAUUGAUCAGGUCCAAAGGAAUUUGGUGUUUCGGUCUGAUGUAUUUGGAUGGUAAAAUAUGUUGUUGGUAAACCGUUAUGAGUGAUGUAGAGUAAUAUGUUCUCUGUGAAACGAUUGAAUAUUUUCAUAGCCAUUUUCAAAACGUGAUGUCAGAUGUACGGCAACUCAGUUGCACAGGUGUCCUUUUUUGCCAAGCUAAAUGGUUGUAUACCUAAAUCCUUGUGGCAUGAAAACAUGAUGUCAAUAUUUAUUUAAUUUGAUGUUAAAGAAUUUCCACCCAUGAUGCAACAACAUGACACUUUACAGAUCAUUGUCUGAUUUUCAUGACAAAUUUUCAUUUCUCAUUGAUUAGACAAAUUCCCUGUUUAUCAAGUUCAAUCAAAGAAAUAAUGGAGCUCCAGGGAUUGCAACUGUUGAUUUGUUUCAAAUAGCUUGGCUGAUAUGAUUUUGGUUCAACUUCUUUCUAAUUCAGUUUUUAACAGAGCCAUGGAAACACCUUCUUUUGCCAGAUUUGAUAGAUCUGUAUUCUCUUUCCUAGUGUUGGCGAAUGAAACUAGCAAUAACCAAGUCAUUUGAACCUGAGAACAUAGCAGUUGGUUUAAGUUAUGCUGAAUCUCCAAGAUAUUGAAGAGCCCAUAAAAUAAAAUUCUUUGCUGCCACUUUUUUUAGUGAAAAAUGAGAGGUAAUGCAGCCAUAAGAAGGUUGUAUGACCACUACUUGAGUUCUAAUUUAGGCUCAUAUAAGAUUGAUUGAUAUGAGGUAUUUCCUUCGGUUUCAACAAUCUGGUUUGACAUUAUUGUCAUCUAAUAAUUCUUCCAUCAGGUUAGUCUCUUGCUGCUGUUCCACAUCCAUAUUUUGGACUUGAUAUCUUUUGUAAAGUGACUUUUCCUUAAAAGUUUCCACAGGUUUUUUUAACAGGGUGGUAAAGUCUUAGCUUCUUCAUUGCAUAGAGGUUGGGUGAGAACGGGACGUGUUUCAUCAUUAUCAAGUAAGUCAAUAGCCGCAAGCUGCAGAAGAAAGGGUUGCAUGUCCAUCCUGCUCGAAGGUCACGGAGAUGAUUACGUUAAACCUGUCAUGCAGUGGUGUAGAUUUUGGGUGAGAACGGGGCGUGUUUCAUAUCAUCAUUAUUAAGCAGGUACAAUAGAUAGCCGCAAGGCUUAUGAGGUUAGGAUGCGAAAAAAAUCGUAUAAAAGGAGAGAGAAAAGGAGGUAGAAAUCAGUCGAGUGAGUAUCUCUGACACGGCAACAACUGCAGUGUAUUAUCUGUCACUAACUGCAUUCCUCAUCGUGGAACCAAAUUGCAAUCAUGCAGGUACAAUUACCGCACGGCUCGAGUUGAAAGGUGAAUAACGAGAAGGAAAAACUUAUUAAGCGAGAGAAAUGUCGAUAAAACUCAAUCAAAUGAGCAUCUCCGACAUGGCAAAUUGGCAACUUCCAGUUCGCAAUUAUGGGCAAAUAUUCUUAUUUUUUUAUUUAGUUAUGUAUCAAUUCCGUUUGUCUCUUUUUGUUAGUAUGCCAGUUAUUAUUGAUUAUUAAUGUGAAAACUAAUUGCUCGGUUAACCAUAGCGUCGUGCUGCUGUUGGGUGUUGUAUCGUUGAUGACUGUGUCGACCACUGGUGUACCGAUGUCUUCUCUUGGUAUGGCGGAUACCAAACUGCAACGCCGCCGCCUUACUACCCAAAAGCAACUCACGCUACGACCAGUUACUGCGCCGAGACCCUUAAGUACAACACCACUAAGGUACUGGUGUAUUAUACCACAACUUAACUGCCCCCAGCUACUACACUGACGCCCCGAAGUAUUACUCUGCCCCGAGCUACACCAACAAGGUACCGGGGUACUACACGAAUACGUAUGCUGCCCCAACCUACUACACCGAUGGCUAAAGUAGUACUACUCUGUUCCCAGCUACUACAACGAGGCUCCGGCUGAUAACUAAACCCAAACGGUAGCUAAAAGCCUAGCUACAACACCGAAGCUCCCAAGUACUACAUCAAAGAAGUCGCAUAUUACACAAGUCAACCACGUCCGCCGCCCCAGUUUACUUCACCGAGGAACCCAAGUAUUACUCUGCUCCAAGCUACUACCAAACCGAGGCUCAUAAGUACUACCAGCAACGUUCCUGAGUGUUACACCACUACUUACGCUGCUACGACCUACACACCGAAGUUCCAUAGUAUUCCUAUGCCCCGAGUUACUACACUACUAGAGCACCAACAAAUUUCAACAAAUCUUUCUUCUUCGUUUACUGUUCCGAUUGUUGCUGUCCAAUGAGGUUUGAUAUUGCAGCUAACAUUUAUGUGCAUCACAUUUAAUUUUGGCUGUUACUUGGUGCUGGUAUUGUGUUUUAAAAGUUGCAAUUUGUAUUUUGUUCAAUUGGCUUUUUGUCUAUUUCGUUCGGAUGUUAAGAUAUAAGAAGAAAG
This is a long non-coding RNA of Daphnia pulicaria, 2477 nucleotides long. RefSeq lists it as uncharacterized. The transcript has 5 exons. The record is from RefSeq and is a predicted model, not a curated record. NCBI's taxonomy places the organism in Eukaryota, Metazoa, Arthropoda, Branchiopoda, Diplostraca, Daphniidae.